GCUUCUCUCUCAUCCUCCUUGACCGAAAUCGCCGCCGCCGUCGCCGGAAUCCCAAUCCUCACCAAAAUUUCCAGAUUUUCUUCUCUUCCUUCCCCCUUUCCAUUUCUCCAACCAAAAUCAAGAAAUUUGGCCAUCCAACCCUCCAAAAACCCUAGAACCCGAAGCUAAAUUGGGGCUUUUUGUGAUUUCUUCUUUAAUAUCCAUCCUAAUCUAGCCUCUAUUCAUCCGAUCUACAUCUAUUUCUUCCUAAAUCCGAGUUUUUGAUUUGGAUUUGUGAUUUUGUUUGCAUGAAUCCGGUUUCUCCUUAAACCAUGAAGUUAGGCUAUGGGUUUGGCAAGGAUUUUUGGUAAGGAUCUAUCCAUGCAACCUUGUUUUCGAGUUUUUUUGGUUGAGAUGUUGAUGUUGGACGAAUUUGUAGGUGAAGAAGGCCAAGGAGAAGGAAUAGGACGUGAUUUUUGAAGAAGAAAGGGAAACACGAUCGUUAUGGAAGCUUAAGCGGAAAGCAUCAGAGUGUGGAGUACGCCAGCAUUAUCCAGGUUACAACGAGGUCAUUCCGGACGAUUUGGAUUAGAAGUGGGUCGUUGGCUGUUCCUGU
Molecule: long non-coding RNA, 595 nt
Organism: Rosa chinensis
Lineage: Eukaryota; Viridiplantae; Streptophyta; Magnoliopsida; Rosales; Rosaceae
Exons: 3
Source: RefSeq, a predicted model, not a curated record